Molecule: ribosomal RNA, 305 nt
Filed under: uncultured bacterium
Lineage: Bacteria
Description: bacterial SSU rRNA
Rfam family: Bacterial small subunit ribosomal RNA
Source: RNAcentral
ACCUACGGGGGGCAGCAGUGGGGAAUCUUGCACAAUGGGCGAAAGCCUGAUGCAGCGACGCCGCGUGGGCGAAGAAGGCCUUUGGGCCGUAAAGCCCUGUCGGGAGGGAAGAAGGAAGCGACGGUACCUCCCAAGGAAGCCCCGGCUAACUCCGUGCCAGCAGCCGCGGUAAUACGGAGGGCGCGAGCGUUAAUCGGAAUUACUGGGCGUAAAGCGCUCGUAGGCGGUAUGUCAAGUCAAGGGUGAAAUCCCCGCGCUCAACGUGGGAACUGCCUUUGAAGCUGGCAAACUGGAGUGUGUGAGAG